CACUUAGAUGUUCUGGGCCGCACGCGCGCUACACUGAUGUAUUCAACGAGUCUAUAGCCUUGGCCGAUAGGCCCGGGUAAUCUUUGAAAUUUCAUCGUGAUGGGGAUAGAUCAUUGCAAUUGUUAAUCUUCAACGAGGAAUGCCUAGUAGGCGCAAGUCAUCAGCUUGCGUCGAUUACGUCCCUGCCCUUUGUACACACCGCCCGUCGCUCCUACCGAUUGGGUGUGCUGGUGAAAUGUUCGGAUCGGCCGUUUGUCGCGGUUUCCGCGGCUCGUGGCUGAGAAGUUCAUUAAACCCUCCCACCUAGAGGAAGGAGAAGUCGUAACA
This 327-nucleotide ribosomal RNA is filed under the name uncultured eukaryote. RNAcentral describes it as "partial 18S ribosomal RNA". It matches the Rfam family "Eukaryotic small subunit ribosomal RNA", at positions 1470 to 1796 of the family's 1831-position model. The record is from RNAcentral.